RNAcentral lists this ribosomal RNA (1287 nucleotides) under Triticum aestivum (bread wheat). Its description in RNAcentral is "partial small subunit ribosomal RNA". The record is from RNAcentral. Lineage: Eukaryota; Viridiplantae; Streptophyta; Magnoliopsida; Poales; Poaceae.
AUGGAGGCUGCUCUUGUCACCGUUUCCACGGGGGUGAUGAAGCCCCUCCUGUCCAAGCUCUUCAAGCUGCCGCUGGACGAGCACCGGAAGCUCCAAGGCGUCCGCCGUGACGCCAAGUUCAUAGGAGACGAGCUUCGCAGCAUGAAGGCUGCACUGGAGGUGCUUGCGGAUGAAGAACAACUCGAACCUGCGAUGAGAAUUUGGCGGGAUGAUGUCCGUGAGCUUUCUUAUGACAUGGAAGAUUGCAUUGAUGUCUUUGUGGCUCAUGUCGACCAUGAGCCCGAUGGGCGUACCAUGCUCAAGAAGUUCGUUGACAUGUUGAAGAAGCCCAAACAUCGCCAUCAGGCUGCUAGUGAGAUAGGUAAACUCAAGGCCCGUGUGGCUGAGGCAAGCGAGAGGCACAAGAGGUAUAAUAUUAUCCGGCCAACACCUUGCAUUAGCUCUUGUGCCAUUGACCCCCGGCUGCCGGCGCUUUACGCGGAGGUUGAUGAACUUGUCGGCAUUGAUGGUCCUAAGGACGAUAUCAUCGACUGGUUUCAGUGGGAGGCUACUUCUACGCAGCCUCAAGUGCUGUCUAUUGUUGGUUCUGGCGGUCUUGCUUUUGUGUCGGUUUCUCGAAAUCCUGAUAUGAGAAAGAUUCUAAGAGAUAUUGCUCAAGGAGUGGGGUUCACAGACAGCCCACCGGAUGAUGAUGUGCAACAAUUGAUCAGUAAACUCAGGCAACAUCUUAAAAACGAAAGGUACUUUGUUGUAAUUGAUGAUGUGUGGAGCGCGGACGUAUGGGAAACUAUCAGGCUUGUAUUAUUGAAUAAUAAUAACCAUGGGAGUAGAAUUAUUACUACAACACGUAAUACUGAAGUUGCAUCAUGUUGUUCUUCAGGUGGUGGUCAUGUUUAUAAAAUGGAACCCCUUACGUUUGAUGACUCCAAAAGGUUGUUUUUUAGAAGAACAUUUGGUCCUGAGGAUUUAUGCCAUCCUCAUCUGGAAAAAGUCUCUAAUGACAUAUUAAGAAAAUGUUCUGGCCUACCAUUGGCUAUUAUUACUGUGUCUAGUUUGUUGGCUGAUCAGCAUGCAGAAGAUGAAUGGAAGAGGGUGUUAGCUGCUAUUGGUUCUGCACUUGCAAAGGAUUCUGGUGCUGAUAAGAUGACAAAGAUAUUAUCUUUCAGCUACUUUGAUCUUCCUCACCAUCUGAGAGCCUGUUUGUUGUACUUGAGUAUAUUUCCAGAAGAUUCUACUAUCUGGAAACAACAUUUGAUACAUAUGUGGGUCGCUGAAGGAUUCAUUCAU